GGUAUCGAAAGAUAAUCGCUGGAUUUAAUGUCGGAUUAGAGAUCAAUCUUACAUCUCCACCACCUGGAGCCCAUGUAUCAUACACACCGGAGAUAAACAUGGCUUUGAUCACUAGAAGGAAAGCACCUACUCCUAAAAGAAUUAAAUGAAUUCCUAAAAUGGUGGUCAUUUUGUUUUUAUCUCUCCA
RNAcentral lists this antisense RNA (187 nucleotides) under Galdieria maxima. RNAcentral describes it as "Antisense RNA which regulates isiA expression". It matches the Rfam family "Antisense RNA which regulates isiA expression". Lineage: Eukaryota; Rhodophyta; Bangiophyceae; Galdieriales; Galdieriaceae. The record is from Rfam by way of RNAcentral.